This 406-nucleotide ribosomal RNA is filed under the name uncultured bacterium. RNAcentral's name for it is "partial 16S ribosomal RNA". It matches the Rfam family "Bacterial small subunit ribosomal RNA", at positions 30 to 526 of the family's 1533-position model. The record is from RNAcentral.
AUUGAACGCUGGCGGCAGGCCUAACACAUGCAAGUCGAACGAGUGGCGGACGGGUGAGUAAUGUCUGGGAAACUGCCCGAUGGAGGGGGAUAACUACUGGAAACGGUAGCUAAUACCGCAUACCAUCGGAUGUGCCCAGCUGGGCUUAGCUAGUUGGUGGGGUAACGGCUCACCUAGGCGACGAUCCCUAGCUGGUCUGCGAGGAUGACCAGCAACACUGGAACUGAGACACGGUCCAGACUCCGACGGGAGGCAGCAGUGGGGAAUGUUGCACAAUGGGCGCAAGGCUGAUACAGCCAUGCCGCGUGGAUGAAGAAGGCCUUCGGGUUGUAAAGUACUUUCAGCGAGGAGGCGUUACUCGCAGAAGAAGCACCGGCUAACUCCGUGCCAGCAGCCGCGGUAAUUC